UGACAUAACUUGGGUGGAUGUACAAGCAAAGAUAAAUAGGCAGCUUUUCACUGAAUUUUCAAGCAGAACAAGAAAUGUCAGUGAAAACGUGUGUUUCUAAUAUGCUCAAGGAAUUUCAACAAAGGAAGCUAAUACUGAUGAAUUAAUUUGCUGAAACUGCAACCAAGGGAGUUUGUUUGUUUGGUAUUCAAACUUAAAUGGAUCCUGUUUCCAAUAAACAGCAUGAAAGGGGAGCAUUUCCAGGGCACUGCCAUGCCAAAUGGAAGACGGCUUGUUCGCUGCCUGAUGAAAUUUGGGAUGAAAGACAGCAACCACAAUCCCUAAUCUCAUCUCAGAACUGCCAGAGGAGAACUGUAGAAACUACUCGGACUGCUGCAAAGUCUGGCCAGAAGGAUGGGCAAGAUGGUAAGACCAACCUAUACCUAUGUACUCUUCUGACCCUUAUUCCCUAGUCUUGGCUGUUGUUAGAUCUGUAAGUCGUCUGUUACACAGGCAGAUAAUGAUUGGAGGAGGGGGAACAGAGGAGGGCGUUACAUUAGGUGUUAGGAAGAAAUUCUCUACUCAGAGGAUAGUGGGGCACUGGAAAAGGUUGUCCAAACAAAUUGUGGGUACCCCAUUCCUGGGAGCGUUUAAGCCAGAUUGGAUGGGGCCAUGAGCAGCCUGAUCUGGUGGGUGGUGUCCCUCUAUGUGGCAGGGGUUUGGAACUACAUGGUGGUUAAGGUUCCUUCCACCCCAAACAAUUUUGUGUCCUAGUCCAGACAAGAUUCCAGGUAGCGUUCAUGCUGCCUUGCCUGGCCACUGAGCUUGGCACUUGGGCUAGGAGAGUGAUCUAUUUAUCAUCAACAAAGAGAAAGAGCAUUCCUCCUCAGGGCUGUUCAGACUGCCAAAGCAACGUUCCAGUUGAGGCAGAGUGCCUUUUUCUGUGUUUGUCUCCCUUGAUGAAAGACAGGGGGAGAUGAGCUUUCCCUCUAUGCAGGGCUUUUCUUCAUGACACCAACAGCUGUUCUUUAAGUGCCACAGAAGGCAUAAUUGAAAGAAGCCUGUACUAAUAGGUGGGUGAAAAGGGAAGGAAUGGAUGGUCUCAAUAUGAUCUUCCUUGGCCUCAAUCUGACAAAGAUUUAGGCAUAUGACUAAAUUUAUGCCAUUCAUUUCCUCUGUCAUUUGCAGUCAGUUUCCCCUCUCUGAUGCAUUAGUGUUUGGGGGAAGCAGAAUUCUCAUGUGAGCUAGCUGUUGUCAUAGUAAGACUUCCUUAGCUUUCCUGAGUCACACCAAUAAUUCCAGAGGUCCAUUUUUAAGUACUCUGACAUUGCACUUUCCAGGUAAGAAUUUUACACAGUUUUAGGGUUGUUUUGUCCCAUUUGAUUUACACAUCUAUCACUUGUCAUUAUAUAAUUAUGUUAUACUGCUGGUCUUCUAGCCCUGCAAUUUAUGAGAAAAAUAACUUGAAAAAAUAUGUGUCUACCAAAAGUCCUGCAUACACCAAAACAGUAUGGGUUUUUUUCCAGUUCUGAAGAGAAAUUGAGAAGAAAUACCAGACUUUCAGACUUGGCACUUUCUAUUUGAUAUGUGCAAUAUGUGAAUAUACCUAAAACAAAUCAACAGUAUCUUUUUUUUUUUUUUUUAAUGAGGAAUGUUCUAAAUAGUUUAUUCUGCUUUACUGUAUUUGAUUUAUUUCAAAGAGGAAAAAUUAAGUAAGAACUAGUGUACUGGCCUGCAAUAUAGAAACAGGAUAAACAUGGAAAUAAUUUGUAUAGAAAUAUAAGCAGGAAUGGCAGAGUGCCAGCAGCUGCUUGAAUAGAAAUCCUAAGGCAGCUAUAGCAGAAGUCUCUUUCCUUACAUUCUUUGCAUUGCAUAAAGCAGUCUGUGUAGUUUGAGAAGAUUUGUGCAUGUGUCUCGUUACCACUUCUCUCCAGAAUAUGACCAAACCUUUAUAGCUGGUUAGCUUUGAAUUAAAUAACAUCACUGGUGCUCUGUAAAAUCUUUUCUUGGUUGUUGUUUUUGGAUAACAGCUUUACAUGUGGACUGCACCUGUUUGAUACUUAUUUUAGCUUCUAGAUACAGGAGUCCCAUGGAAUGAAGGAGGGAGAUACAACGCUCAGAGGCUCCUAAAAAAUUUCAGGCCAGGCUGCCUGAAGAUAAUAUGCGUGAAAAGGUGGUGUGUUUGUUUGUUUGUUUUUCCAGUUCCAUUGGUUUUGAAACUGUAACACCUGGAGCACAGCACUUCUGAUCCAUGACAGAGUAUCCUAACUGCAAGGGAGUCAAUAAUUUGCUGAAACUGACAGAGAGAAUUACACACUGCCCUCUGUGUUUAUAAACAAAUAAAAAGAGGUGGGAGAAAGCUGAGUGUCUGAAG
This is a long non-coding RNA of Lonchura striata (white-rumped munia), 2353 nucleotides long. Lineage: Eukaryota; Metazoa; Chordata; Aves; Passeriformes; Estrildidae. The record is from Ensembl.